Dalotia coriaria is the source of this 151-nucleotide long non-coding RNA. RefSeq lists it as uncharacterized. The transcript is spliced from 3 exons. The record is from RefSeq and is a predicted model, not a curated record. Lineage: Eukaryota; Metazoa; Arthropoda; Insecta; Coleoptera; Staphylinidae.
AUUUAGCUUGUAUAUGUUAACAAUUGAUGGGUUACCUCCAGAUAAGGAACACAUUAGUAAUUAUGGUUUAUUAGUAAGUUCUUUAGUAAUGAUGAUAUACAUGUAUAGCUAUGGUGGAACAUUAAUAUACUCUCAAAGUUUGAGUGUCGCC